GAUGAACGCUGGCGGCGUGCCUAAUACAUGCAAGUCGAGCGAACGGACGAGAAGCUUGCUUCUCUGAUGUUAGCGGCGGACGGGUGAGUAACACGUGGAUAACCUACCUAUAAGACUGGGAUAACUUCGGGAAACCGGAGCUAAUACCGGAUAAUAUUUUGAACCGCAUGGUUCAAAAGUGAAAGACGGUCUUGCUGUCACUUAUAGAUGGAUCCGCGCUGCAUUAGCUAGUUGGUAAGGUAACGGCUUACCAAGGCAACGAUGCAUAGCCGACCUGAGAGGGUGAUCGGCCACACUGGAACUGAGACACGGUCCAGACUCCUACGGGAGGCAGCAGUAGGGAAUCUUCGGCAAUGGGCGAAAGCCUGACGGAGCAACGCCGCGUGAGUGAUGAAGGUCUUCGGAUCGUAAAACUCUGUUAUUAGGGAAGAACAUAUGUGUAAGUAACUGUGCACGUCUUGACGGUACCUAAUCAGAAAGCCACGGCUAACUACGUG
Molecule: ribosomal RNA, 497 nt
Filed under: uncultured bacterium
Lineage: Bacteria
Description: partial 16S ribosomal RNA
Rfam family: Bacterial small subunit ribosomal RNA
Source: RNAcentral